Molecule: ribosomal RNA, 422 nt
Filed under: uncultured cyanobacterium
Lineage: Bacteria; Bacillati; Cyanobacteriota
Description: bacterial SSU rRNA
Rfam family: Bacterial small subunit ribosomal RNA
Source: RNAcentral
GAAUUUUCCGCAAUGGGCGAAAGCCUGACGGAGCAAUACCGCGUGAGGGAUGACGGCCUAUGGGUUGUAAACCUCUUUUUUCAGGGAGGAAUCAAUGACGUGUACCUGAAGAAUAAGCAUCGGCUAACUCCGUGCCAGCAGCCGCGGUAAGACGGAGGAUGCAAGUGUUAUCCGGAAUCACUGGGCGUAAAGCGUCUGUAGGUGGUUUAAUAAGUCAACUGUUAAAUCUUGAAGCUCAACUUCAAAAUCGCAGUCGAAACUAUUAGACUAGAGUAUAGUAGGGGUAAAGGGAAUUUCCAGUGGAGCGGUGAAAUGCGUAGAGAUUGGAAAGAACACCGAUGGCGAAGGCACUUUACUGGGCUAUUACUGACACUCAGAGACGAAAGCUAGGGUAGCAAAUGGGAUUAGAUACCCCAGUAGUC